Molecule: long non-coding RNA, 236 nt
Filed under: Nicotiana tabacum (common tobacco)
Lineage: Eukaryota; Viridiplantae; Streptophyta; Magnoliopsida; Solanales; Solanaceae
Description: long non-coding RNA (NTAB_LNC000179)
Source: RNAcentral
AAGGGUUUUGCUGUUGAGUAGAUGUGGCGGCUGCAGCUGCGGCGGCGAUGGUAGUGGUGGUGGUAGGGUUUAGGUUUUGUGGUGGUUGUGAUUGUACUACUGAGGUAGUGGUUGUUGUAGUAGACGGGAGUUGACUGGUUGCGGCGGCGGAGGAGGAAGGUGGUGGAGGCGGAGAUGGUGGUGGAAGCUGUUGUUGUUCAGUUGGCUGUGAAGUGGACGUCGACGGCGGCGGUGUC